AACUUUUGACAAUGGAUCUCUUGGCUCUCGCAUCGAUGAAGAACGCAGCGAAAUGCGAUAAGUAAUGUGAAUUACGGAAUUCAGUGAAUCAUCGAAUCUUUGAACGCACCUUGCGCUCCUUGGUAUUCCGAGGAGCAUGCCUGUUUGAGUGUCAUUAAUAUUAUAUAUCAAACCCUCUUUUGCUGAGUGGUUUGGAUGUGGGGGGUUUAUCUUUUGCUGGCCUCUUGAAGGGGUCAGCUCCCCUGAAAUACAUUAGCAGAACGACCUGUUUGUUCAUUGGUGUGAUAACUAUCUACGCUAUUGAACAGUGAAGGCAGUUCAGCUUCCUAACAGUCUUUGGACAGUUUAUCAUCUAUGUGACCUCAAAUCAGGUAGGACUACCCGCUGAACUUACGCAUAUCAAUAAGCGGAGGCU
RNAcentral lists this unclassified non-coding RNA (415 nucleotides) under uncultured Cortinarius. Its description in RNAcentral is "sequence contains ITS2". The stretch from base 1 to 154 matches the Rfam family "5.8S ribosomal RNA". The record is from RNAcentral. Lineage: Eukaryota; Fungi; Basidiomycota; Agaricomycetes; Agaricales; Cortinariaceae.